This 570-nucleotide ribosomal RNA is filed under the name uncultured bacterium. Its description in RNAcentral is "bacterial SSU rRNA". It matches the Rfam family "Bacterial small subunit ribosomal RNA", at positions 355 to 917 of the family's 1533-position model. The record is from RNAcentral.
UAGGGAAUCUUCCGCAAUGGGCGAAAGCCUGACGGAGCAACGCCGCGUGAGUGAUGAAGGUCUUCGGAUCGUAAAACUCUGUUAUUAGGGAAGAACAUAUGUGUAAGUAACUGUGCACAUCUUGACGGUACCUAAUCAGAAAGCCACGGCUAACUACGUGCCAGCAGCCGCGGUAAUACGUAGGUGGCAAGCGUUAUCCGGAAUUAUUGGGCGUAAAGCGCGCGUAGGCGGUUUUUUAAGUCUGAUGUGAAAGCCCACGGCUCAACCGUGGAGGGUCAUUGGAAACUGGAAAACUUGAGUGCAGAAGAGGAAAGUGGAAUUCCAUGUGUAGCGGUGAAAUGCGCAGAGAUAUGGAGGAACACCAGUGGCGAAGGCGACUUUCUGGUCUGUAACUGACGCUGAUGUGCGAAAGCGUGGGGAUCAAACAGGAUUAGAUACCCUGGUAGUCCACGCCGUAAACGAUGAGUGCUAAGUGUUAGGGGGUUUCCGCCCCUUAGUGCUGCAGCUAACGCAUUAAGCACUCCGCCUGGGGAGUACGACCGCAAGGUGAAACUCAAAGGAAUUGACGGG